Molecule: ribosomal RNA, 270 nt
Filed under: uncultured bacterium
Lineage: Bacteria
Description: partial 16S ribosomal RNA
Rfam family: Bacterial small subunit ribosomal RNA
Source: RNAcentral
ACUCCUACGGGAGGCAGCAGUGGGAAUAUUGCACAAUGGGCGCAAGCCUGAUGCAGCCAUGCCGCGUGUGUGAAGAAGGCCUUCGGGUUGUAAUGAAGCUUUACAGUCGUGAGGAAGGUAGUGUAGUUAAUAGCUGCAUUAUUUGACGUUAGCGACAGAAGAAGCACCGGCUAACUCCGUGCCAGCAGCCGCGGUAAUACGGAGGGUGCGAGCGUUAAUCGGAAUUACUGGGCGUAAAGCGCAUGCAGGUGGCUUGUUAAGUCAGAUGUG